AUUCUUUUAGUAUAUAAAGUAUAUUCAACUUCCAAUUGAAAGGUUUAAUAAACUUAAAAGAAUA
Molecule: transfer RNA, 64 nt
Filed under: Onymocoris hackeri
Lineage: Eukaryota; Metazoa; Arthropoda; Insecta; Hemiptera; Thaumastocoridae
Description: tRNA-Gly
Source: RNAcentral